RNAcentral lists this microRNA precursor (67 nucleotides) under Operophtera brumata (winter moth). Its description in RNAcentral is "mir-3389 microRNA precursor family". It matches the Rfam family "mir-3389 microRNA precursor family". The record is from Rfam by way of RNAcentral. Lineage: Eukaryota; Metazoa; Arthropoda; Insecta; Lepidoptera; Geometridae.
CCAGUCGUAGCCGAUGUUCCACAGGAGCGGCCCAAGGACCGAACCCUGUGGGACACCGCACGACAUC